UGCAAAAGGGAAGCCUUCUCGAAACUCUUUGCAUUUUAGUGCAUGAGUGUAAAUGUCCUGGCUUAGACGAAUCCCAUCCCCAGCUUGGAUGAGACUACAAAUGAGAGCACAGGUCUGCAGCUGGCAGAACUCUUGCAGACAGGGGCACGUCAGACAAUCUCCAGCCCAGCCAGAUGGCAGGACUGCAGGAGGAGGCUCUCAGAGCAGUUAGAGUAACCAGAAUAGUUCUCUCCCUCUCCAAGUCUUCCCCUAAGCACCUUCUCCUUUCAUUUAGCCUGUGUAAUAAAUAUAAUUGGAAACGUCCAGUGCUCCCCCAUGCAGGGAAGCAUCAAUUACUCCUCCAGCUCUGGAGUUCUAAUUUGUAACAUAGAUUAAAUUCAGCUCCGGACUGGGGAGAGAUUGCACCUUUAAGAUUUGCCACGUUGUUUAGGGAAAUCACUCACAAUGCACAUUAGGAUGGAUUUAAACGUGUCAGUAUUAAUACCGGCCAUUUCCCUGUUGUCACAUGUUGUUAGAAGAACAAUUAUUUCACGUCUGAGUAGAAAUCUUACUCGGAGGCUAAAGUUAAUGUAGCAUAUGGAGCGGCGAGGAAGCAGGCUUGGGCGUCUUGUGCACGCGGGCCGUCGCCCAUUACGGUGCUGGUUAGCAUACUCCUUCCUCCCCAUCUGUUUUCCUACAGAGGAGACGAUUAUUGUUUUGCUUAGAACAGGCUUUGGCCCCUCUGCACUCGGAAUGAUGGAACGUGGACUCGCAGUUUAGAGGGCGAAAGAGGAUUGAUCUGUGAGCCCUCUCCAAUCCCCGGCUCGGCCUCCUGCUCUCCCAAGGAUAAAUCUCGUUUUCAGAUAAAUCCAGAUUGCUUUUCCAAUAGAUUGGCUUUUAGCCUCCCCCGCUGAACCGUACUUUGACAUAACCCGACAGCCUCCCUGUGGCUGUGAAGAAAUCAUUCCUAACAUUGGAGGUUAAUUUGCUAAAUGAAGCGUUGGGUUUUCUUUCAUGGAAACAAGAAAAAUUGUUUGGAUGAGGUUAGAAAAGGCAAAGCGGCUCGGAGAACAUUCCCUGGGGCUUCAUCCCAGCACGAACCUCGAUUGGACAUUUAUUCCAGGGUUAAAUGAAUAAAUAGUGGAAAGCAGCCCUGUCAUUUCUGCAUUGGCCUUUACACAUGGAGCGAUGGUGAGGGACGGACACAGGCUGGAAUUGGCCCCCAUUGGGCAGAUGGGUAAACCGAGGCCCACAGAGCUGAACCUGGUCUGCCCCCGUCAUGCCUCAAGGUUGCCCUUCAGGGAGGGACCCUGGUCUCUCUUCCUGUGCUGUGUCCCUUUACCCUUUAGUAGAUCAGAAUCCAAGUGCUUGCAAGGGAAAGGGAACAGAAAGAGAGUUGGGAUGGGAUCAUUUUCACAUUUUUCUCUGCACAGAGGAUCCCAGCUGUGGAGACUGGGGGAUGUCAUCAAUCUCUGGUCUCAGGAUCCCUGUCAAUAUCAUGUUCUGUAGCCAGGGAACCUCAGGUUGUUUUGUGAGGCUCACCCAGUGGCCAGGACAGACGGAAUUGAUUGGACUUGUUAUUUCAUGGUAGGAUCUGAUGAGAGGUCAGGUCCCUGAGAUCUGGGAGGGAGAGGUCAAGGGUGUGGGGCAUGUGCAAGGGUCCUGGGACUGAGAGGCUGCUGUGGGCAUCCUGGCCAAGCUGCAGCCUCCAGAGGAGGGUAUCUGUGGGCAAGGAAAGGGCACACAAGAGUCUUGUCAGGAAAUUCCUGGGAAGGAGGCCUUCAGGGAGAAAAAUGUGAUCUGAAAGAGGCCACAAGGAGGGGAUCAGAGACUGACUUCAAGAACACAGGAGAUCAGAGAAGCACUCAGGGUUGUGGGCUUCUGAAAACCAUCAAGUUCAAGUUCAAGCAAUUAGAGGGUACAGAGCUGUUGGACUUGUCUCUGAUGGCAAUAUCUCGGGAGCUUUUACUUGUUUCCUCUGAUCUUUAGUGGAAAAAUAUGUGUUUUGGGUCACAUUGUGUGACCCUAACAUUCCUGUGUUGAAGAAGUCCUGAGCUCUCAUAGCUCAGAAUGCAAGCUUCUUUGGAGACGGGGUUUUUACACAGUUAUCAAGUAAAAUGAGGUGCUGCAGUGAGCCCUGGUCCAACAUGACGGGUGUCCACGUGCAGAGGGAAAGUCUGGACCCAGGUAGAAAUGGAGGACGAGGUGAGGGGCACAGGGAGAAGAGACCCUCGACAAGCCACGGAGGAGGCCCGACGAAGGCAGCCUCGCCGCACACUGGACCCUGGACUUAUGGCCUCCAGACCCCAGAAAAAGUGCAUGUCCCUCGGUGGGAGGUGUCCGGUGUGGCAGCCCUGGCAGGUGAACACAGUAGGUGAACAUAAAAACAGCCGCUGCAGCAGGAGAGGGCUGGACGUCGUGCUCCGUGGGAAAGCCAGACAGGACGGUCACGGCCGGGCAGACCUGUUUACAUGAAGCCUCAGAACGGUGAGUCCAUCGCGACAGGAAGCGGGUCGAGGGCUGCCAGGGCCUGGGAGAGGGGGACCGGGCUGUGCUUGCUGGAUGGACAGGGGUCCCUGAGGAGAGAUAAUAGUGCCCCAUGACCAGAUGGCGGUGAGGGUGGGGACAGUGAGGGGCUCAGUGCUAGUGCCCGGCCUGCUCGAAAGUGGUGGAUUUUGUUAUGGGACUUUUAUCUCAAUUAAAACAAAUGAAAAAGGCAGCCCCCUGUGUGUCACUGGGGAGAUGGGGACCCUGGUAGGGAAAGAGGAGACCCGCGGAUGCCCUGUCCCGUUCCGAAGCUCGCCUCGAGGGAGCCAUAGAGAUGAGCAUGGAAAGGGAGCAACUCGGGGCCACGGGACUCCCAGGGCUGCGGAGGAGGGAGGAGAGGCGCUGGCGCUGGUCUGCCCAAGUGGCCACGGGCCUUGCACAGGGCCCUUCAGAACACAGGGGACAGGAGGGUCCCCAGUGGCUUCCUGUGCUGUGACUGUGCUGAGCUCACAUGAAGAUCCUCCACCCCGUCUGGUGAGUCCCUGUGGACAUGUGUGCUGGGCUUCGGGGGCAUGUUGGAAUACCUCUCCUUCCUUGGGAAACUUGCAAGCUUUUGAGACUUGCCUCCCCAAACAGAAGACUCUCCCGCAAACGUCCUUGCCUCUAGGGCACAGUGUGACCGCCCGAGAACAAUCUAGAAGGUGGUGACGUCAGCAUGAGAUUCUUUGUCCUUUGCUCCCUGUGAGAGUGGGAAAGGGCAUCCAGCACUCAGGAGCUGUUGACGGAGCCCAGGGUUGGGGUCCUGCACCCCACUAUGGAGGGGUGAUCUAUGGCGUCCCACGUGGCUCUCUGGGAUAGAGAUGGCCUGUGGCCUGGCUGUGGAGCCUCCAGCCUUGAUUCUCCUGGCGAUUCUCAGGCGGCCUUUAUACCUGAGCAGACUGGGACUUUGCCAGGAGGGACCUUGGCUGAGAACCUGCCAGCCCCAUGCUGGACAGCCCGCCGGCCUUGGACACAAGGUCACAGGGGCUCCACGGGGACUGUUUGUGGGAGAGGUGGCGAGCUCCCCUGCAGCAGCCAGCACUUUCCUUUUCCCCUGAGUUUUCCUUCUCCCUGGAAAACUUUAGGCUCCUCACACCAGACCCCUCCUGCACAGCAUGGAGGGCGACGGGCUCCCUAGAGCAGAGGGGACCGCACCUCUCAGUGACAUGAGUGGUGGAACCCGAGAGCCCAGAUGGCAGUCAGGGCGAAUCUGCCCUCCUCACCGUGCUCAUGAAUUCAAAGUGCAUCUUGGAGUGGAUGUCAUCUGGGCUACUUCGUUUGCUCCACAGAAUGUCAUAUGAAUGAAGCAGAGACAUUCUACCGCCAAGGCUGAUGCUGUGGUUGGAUCAGAAGUGUCCCCCAAGAGUCCAUGUGAGGUACAUGGUCUUGCCAGAUGCUCCUGUCAUAAAGUGCUGCCUCCCUCAGGCCCAGGGGCAGCAAGGCCAACUGAUCGUGGACCCCAACCUCCACAACUGCGAGCCGAAGUGACCUUCCACACCUACCAGAUCACCACGGGGAGGUGUCCAGACUCAUACAGGCAGAGGCAGGAGCCACAGAGGUUUCGUCACCUUCCCCGUCCAGAGCUCUUCCCACAGAGACGAGUGUGCGUGUCCACGGGUAUGGGUGCAGCGUGCCUGGGGAGCCCGGGCACGUGGCCCUCCCUCACCUGCCAUUUCAUGUUCCUUGGCAACAGUUACCCAGGAUCUGAAAAUAUCACUGUAAAUGUUACCAAACCACAAUAAGAAAUGAAGACUUUCCUUUUUCUGCAGAGAGAGAU
Marmota monax (woodchuck) is the source of this 4282-nucleotide long non-coding RNA. RefSeq lists it as uncharacterized. The transcript is spliced from 2 exons. NCBI's taxonomy places the organism in Eukaryota, Metazoa, Chordata, Mammalia, Rodentia, Sciuridae. The record is from RefSeq and is a predicted model, not a curated record.